Molecule: unclassified non-coding RNA, 287 nt
Filed under: Hevea brasiliensis (rubber tree)
Lineage: Eukaryota; Viridiplantae; Streptophyta; Magnoliopsida; Malpighiales; Euphorbiaceae
Source: RNAcentral
UAAAUUGAGGUUUACUUUCAAGGUUUAUGGAUUGGCAUUAAUUUAAUCUAAUUUUCCCUAUGUCCACUAAUAAUUAUCAAUAGGGUUUUGGUAAGUUGUUCUUCUAGAUUUGUGUCUUGUUGACAUCUCUUUGAAAUUUUCAGCUUCUUGGUUUUGGGUUUCUUGUUCCUCGUGUCUAUCCCUUCUGUAAUUGCACUGAGAGGAGGAUCACAAUGUGCUAAAGUAUUUACCUUUUCAGUGUUAGAGUAAUCCGUGUACCAAAUUUUAGAAAAGAUAGAUAAUAAAAG